Ailuropoda melanoleuca (giant panda) is the source of this 582-nucleotide long non-coding RNA. RefSeq lists it as uncharacterized. The transcript is spliced from 3 exons. The record is from RefSeq and is a predicted model, not a curated record. Lineage: Eukaryota; Metazoa; Chordata; Mammalia; Carnivora; Ursidae.
UGCGCCAUGAAGAGAGGAUGCAGAAGGGAGCACACCUGCUGACACCUUGGUCUUGAACUUCCAGCCUCCGGAACUGUGACAACAUCCAUUUCUGUCUCAGCAACCCAGCCUGUGGUGUUUUGUUACGGUGGCCUCAGCAGACUAAUACGAUGUGUUAUGGGGCAAUUUAGAUGAAGAGACCAGACAGAAGACCAAACCCCCAGUUUGGCACAGGUUCUUUCCUCCAGACUGGAAGGCAUCUACAGUGUUCGUGGCCACCCUUUUAUUUGUUCAUAAACACUUUGUCAAGGGCUGUGUGGCACUCUGGGUCUACCACGUCAUGGCACCGUGGGAGAAGUCACGAAGGAAGGCACAAGGAGAUAUCGUUCUGGUGUUAAGAAGCUAAUGCACAGGCUGUCCUUCCCUUUGGCAUCUAUAAUGCUGGGCGCAGGAGGCAUGGGUUUUCCCAAGGAGCGCAAAGGCCUCUGGGAGGGAAGGAACCGAGCCCCCCUGCAACACCCCCCUUUCAAAGCGGGCGACGCUGCAGAGAGAGCAGAGCUCCCAGGCAAGUCUGCGGGGCAGUGCCCCCCGAGGGGGAGGACA